RNAcentral lists this ribosomal RNA (1478 nucleotides) under uncultured Bordetella sp. Its description in RNAcentral is "partial 16S-23S ribosomal RNA intergenic spacer". It matches the Rfam family "Bacterial small subunit ribosomal RNA". Lineage: Bacteria; Pseudomonadati; Pseudomonadota; Betaproteobacteria; Burkholderiales; Alcaligenaceae. The record is from RNAcentral.
GUUUGAUCCUGGCUCCAGAUUGAACGCUGGCGGGAUGCUUUACAUACCAAGUCGAACUUUGGCAACCUGGACUUCGGUCUGGUGGCGGAAGUAGCGAGCAGGUGAGCAUGUAUCGGAACGUGCCUAGUAGCGGGGGAUAACUACGCGAAAGCGCUAAUACCGCAUACGCCCUUCGGGGGAAGCGGGGGGACCUUCCCGGGCCUCGCACUAUUAGAGCGGCCGAUAUCGGAUUAGCUGGUUGGUGGGGUAACGGCUCACAGGGGCGACGAUCCGUAGCUGGUUUGAGAGGACGACCAGCCACACUGGGACGGAGACACGGCCCAGACUCCUACGGGAGGCAGCGGUGAAAUUUUGGACAAUGGGAAAUGAUCCAGCCAUCCCGCGUGUGCGAUGAAGGCCUUCAGGUUUGUAAGCACUUUUGGCAGGAAAAACGGCACGGGAUAAUACCCCGUGCAACUGACAGCCUGCAGAAUAAGCACCGGCCUAACUACGUUGCCAACAGCCGCUGAUGUCGUGGUCCGCGAAGCGUUAAUCAAGAUUACUGGAGCGUAAAGCGUGCGCGAGCGGUUCGGAAAGAUGCAGAAAUCCCAGAGCUUAACUUUGGAGCUGCAUUUUUAACUACCGAGCUAGGUGUGUCAGAGGGAGGUGGGAUUCGCGUGUAGCAGUGAAAUGCGUAGAUAUGCGGAGAGGAACACCGAUGGCGAAGGCAGCCUCCUGGGAUGGCACUGACGCUCAUGUGCACGAAAGCGUGGGAGCAAACAGGAUUAGAUACCCUGAUGAUCCACGCCCUAAACGUCAACUAGCUGUUGGGGCCUUCGGGCCUUGGUGCUGCAACUAACGCGUGGUUGACCGCCGCAGGGUACGGUCGCAAGAUUAAAACUCAAAGAAAUUGACGGGGACCCGCACGAAGCGGUGGAUGAUGUGGAUUAAUUCGAUGCAACGCGAAAACCUUACCUACCCUUGACAUGUCUGGAAUCGAAGAGAUUUGGGAGUGCUCGCAAGAGAACCGGAACACAGGUGCUGCAUGUGGCUGUCGUCAGCUCGUGUCGUGAGAUGUUGGGUUUAAGUCCCGCAACAGGCGCAACCCUUGUCGUGGAUUGCUACGAAGGGCACUCCCUAAUGAGACUGCCGGUGACAAGCCGGAGGAAGGUGGGGAUGACGUCAGAGUCCUCAUGGCCCUUAUGGGUGGGGCUUCACACGUCAUGCAAUGGUCGGGACAGAGGUCGCCAACCCGCGAGGGAGCAAUCCCAGAAACCCGAUCGUAGUCCGGAUCACCCAGUCUGCAACUCGACUGCGUGAAGUCGGAGAUCGCUGGUAAUCGCGGAUCGGCACUGUGUCGCGGUGAAUCGUUCCGGGUCUUGUACACACCGCCCGUCACACCAUGGGGAUGGGUUUACCAGAAGUAGUUAGCCUAGCCAACCGCAGGGAGGGCGUGCCACGGUAAGUUCAUGACUGGGGUGAAGUCGUAACAAAGGUAG